Molecule: unclassified non-coding RNA, 400 nt
Filed under: uncultured fungus
Lineage: Eukaryota; Fungi
Description: partial internal transcribed spacer 1
Source: RNAcentral
AUGUCGCCAUGCCGCCAGUAAUACCGGUAAAGCCGUUUCUUUAUGCAUUACGAAAGCAUCGCCAUAGUCGCGAUCUUUUUUAUCACCGGAAUAUUCUGUCUUAUGUUUUUCCACCGCUUUUUUUAAUGCUUCUGAUAAACCGCCAACCUCAUCCUGCUGCGGCAGUAAAAUGUUCCCGGAUGAACUGACAGCUGACACAUCGCCCAUUAAAUUAUCUCCUCUGACUCGGCCUCUUCCUGCUGUAUCUCUCGCUGGAUAUAGUGUCUUUUCUGACGGAUUAUCCAGCGUUGAUAGUUCCCUUCUUUGCGCAACCAAUAUUUACUUUUUUUCUGAAACUCUUCCCUUUUCUUUUCCAGCUCGCUCCGUUUUUCCUGAAUUUGUAUAAUCUGGAGUUCUAAAU